RNAcentral lists this ribosomal RNA (468 nucleotides) under uncultured bacterium. RNAcentral's name for it is "partial 16S ribosomal RNA". It matches the Rfam family "Bacterial small subunit ribosomal RNA", at positions 28 to 507 of the family's 1533-position model. The record is from RNAcentral.
GACGAACGCUGGCGGCGUGCUUAACACAUGCAAGUCGAACGGAAAGGCCCUGCUUUUGUUGGGUGCGCGAGUGGCGAACGGGUGAGUAACACGUGAGUAACCUGCCCUUUACUUUGGGAUAACUGCAGGAAACUGGGGUUAAUACCGGAUAUGAGCUCCUGCUGCAUGGUGGGGGUUGGAAAGUUUCGGCGGUUGGGGAUGGACUCGCGGGUUAUCAGCUUGUUGGUGGGGGAGUGGCUUACCAAGGCUUUGACGGGUAGCCGGCCUGAGAGGGUGACCGGCCACAUUGGGACUGAGAUACGGCCCAGACUCCUACGGGAGGCAGCAGUGGGGAAUAUUGACCAAUGGGCGGAAGCCUGAUGAAGCAACGCCGCGUGCGGGAUGACGGCCUUCGGGUUGUAAACCGCUUUCGCCUGUGACGAAGCGUGAGUGACGGUAAUGGGUAAAGAAGCACCGGCUAACUACGUG